UUCCAGUACCCGACUGGACUGAAAGGAAGUGCUCACUGAGAGAGCGCUUCCUGUCAGUCCGGCCGGGAACAGGAA
Pelobates cultripes (western spadefoot toad) is the source of this 75-nucleotide non-coding RNA. NCBI's taxonomy places the organism in Eukaryota, Metazoa, Chordata, Amphibia, Anura, Pelobatidae. The record is from the annotation of a GenBank genome assembly.